GUCUACGGCUAUGCCACCCUGAACAAGCCUGAUCCCAUCUGAUCUCAGAAACUAAGCAGGGUCGGGCCUGGUUAGUACUUGGAUGAGAGACCACCUAGAAAGAUCAAGUGCAGAAGGCG
RNAcentral lists this ribosomal RNA (119 nucleotides) under Pteropus alecto (black flying fox). Lineage: Eukaryota; Metazoa; Chordata; Mammalia; Chiroptera; Pteropodidae. The record is from RNAcentral.